RNAcentral lists this ribosomal RNA (406 nucleotides) under uncultured bacterium. RNAcentral's name for it is "partial 16S ribosomal RNA". It matches the Rfam family "Bacterial small subunit ribosomal RNA", at positions 29 to 526 of the family's 1533-position model. The record is from RNAcentral.
AUUGAACGCUGGCGGCAGGCCUAACACAUGCAAGUCGAACGAGUGGCGGACGGGUGAGUAAUGUAUGGGGAUCUGGCUAAUAGAGGGGGAUAACUACGGGAAACGGUGGCUAAUACCGCUUAACCUCGGAUGAGCCCAAGUGGGAGUAGGUAGUUGGUGGGGUAAAGGCUCACCAAGCCGACGAGCUCUACCUGGUCUGAGAGGAUGACCAGCCACACUGGGACUGAGACACGGCCCAGACUCCUACGGGAGGCAGCAGUGGGGAAUAUUGGGCAAUGGGCGAAAGCCGUAUGCAGCCAUGCCGCGUGAAUGAAGAAGGCCUUCGGGUUGUAAAGUUCUUUCGGCAGAGAGGCGGUAACUACAGAAGAAGCACCGGCUAACUCCGUGCCAGCAGCCGCGGUAAUAC